CGACCGCUGGCGGCGCGCCUAACACAUGCACGUCGACCGGCGCUGAGAGAAGCUUGCUUUUCUUAGCUUAGUGGCGAACGGGUGAGUAACGCGUGAGUAACCUGCCCUGGAGUGGGGGACAACAGUUGGAAACGACUGCUAAUACCGCAUAAGCCCACGAUCCGGCAUCGGAUUGAGGGAAAAGGAUUUAUUCGCUUCAGGAUGGACUCGCGUCCAAUUAGCUAGUUGGUGAGGUAACGGCCCACCAAGGCGACGAUUGGUAGCCGGACUGAGAGGUUGAACGGCCACAUUGGGACUGAGACACGGCCCAGACUCCUACGGGAGGCAGCAGUGGGGGAUAUUGCACAAUGGGGGAAACCCUGAUGCAGCGACGCCGCGUGGAGGAAGAAGGCUUUCGGAUUGUAAACUCCUGUCGUUAGGGACGAUAAUGACGGUACCUAACAAGAAAGCACCGGCUAACUACGUG
RNAcentral lists this ribosomal RNA (466 nucleotides) under uncultured bacterium. RNAcentral describes it as "partial 16S ribosomal RNA". It matches the Rfam family "Bacterial small subunit ribosomal RNA", at positions 30 to 507 of the family's 1533-position model. The record is from RNAcentral.